This 372-nucleotide unclassified non-coding RNA is filed under the name soil metagenome. Its description in RNAcentral is "partial contains 5.8S ribosomal RNA, internal transcribed spacer 2, and large subunit ribosomal RNA". The stretch from base 5 to 120 matches the Rfam family "5.8S ribosomal RNA", at positions 40 to 154 of the family's 154-position model. The record is from RNAcentral.
GAUGAGAACGCAGCGAAAUGCGAUAAGUAAUGCGAAUUGCAGAAUUCCAGUGAGUCAUCGAAUCUUUGAACACACAUUGCGCCCUUUGGUAUUCCGAAGGGCAUGCCUGUUCGAGCGUCAUUAUCACCCCUCAAGCCCUCGGCUUGGUGUUGGACGGUUUGGUGGAGGCCCCCUCGGGGGCUCCUGCCCCUCCCAAAGACAAUGACGGCGGCCUCGUUGGACCCCCGGUACACUGAGUUCUUCACGGGACACGUAUCGGACACAUGGGUUUACGGGACACGGUCUGCCUCCCCUCAGGGAGAAUCUUUCUAAGGUUGACCUCGGAUCAGGUAGGGAUACCCGCUGAACUUAAGCAUAUCAAUAAGCGGAGGA